Molecule: long non-coding RNA, 760 nt
Organism: Bos taurus (domestic cattle)
Lineage: Eukaryota; Metazoa; Chordata; Mammalia; Artiodactyla; Bovidae
Source: Ensembl
GUAGAAGCAGCAGCCUGAUCCCCGCCUCUGUCUGCAGAGUUCAGGGCCCCCCAGGGGCCUGCGGACCCCGCCCGGGAGGAUGCUCUGUGGGGGUCACUACAGAACAGGCCAGCUGUUCUCAGCACCGCCACCUGUGAAGCCGCCCUGCCGAGCACACCUUCCCCCGGUGACAGGCACGCGUUGUGCCUCUACUGUGGUCCCGGCAGCUGACACGGGUGUGAAGACAUCUUGCCUCCUGUGCUAAUUUUGUGCAGUAACCUUUCAGCAUGGGACCAAGGACACUCCUCUCAAGGCCUGGAGCCGGAGGGAGCACCUUCCUUUCCCAGAAGAGGGCUCCGUGGUGGUCAAGUCUUGAUAUUGCCCAGAAGGCACCAGACACCCCCAGCUGCCCUUGACCCGGCCGGGCUGAGCCCGACAGACGUGGCCCAGCAUGGCCCGACAGAGCUGUGAGUCAUCAGGGCUUCUGAAGCCCAGCCCAGCAGGGGCCAGCCCCCUACUACCACCAUCUCCCACCCUGAAAGCCAUAACCAGCCUCUGUGUCCAAGCGUCCUGUGGUCGCCCACCAGGCAGAGACCCUGGAAUCCCGGGGGGUCCUCCCCGGCUCUAGGGGUGCAGGGGCAGGUAGCAGGUGCACGCCCCCUCCUGGCCUGCCGGCUCGCAAUGCGCACAAUGGCCAGCAGAGGGCACCACAGGCCGUCGCCGAGGGUGGGCCUGGUGUGGUCUCGCCGCCGGCCAGGCGCCCCUUGCACGCCCCUGACCC